Molecule: ribosomal RNA, 465 nt
Filed under: uncultured bacterium
Lineage: Bacteria
Description: partial 16S ribosomal RNA
Rfam family: Bacterial small subunit ribosomal RNA
Source: RNAcentral
CCUACGGGUGGCUGCAGUGGGGAAUAUUGCGCAAUGGGCGAAAGCCUGACGCAGCGACGCCGCGUGAGGGAUGAAGGUCUUCGGAUCGCAAACCUCUGUCAGCAGGGAAGAACGGUCACUGUGCUAAUCAGCAGUGAAUUGACGGUACCUGCAAAGGAAGCACCGGCUAACUCCGUGCCAGCAGCCGCGGUAAUACGGAGGGUGCGAGCGUUAAUCGGAAUUACUGGGCGUAAAGGGCUCGUAGGCGGUAUGUCAAGUCAAGGGUGAAAUCCCCGCGCUCAACGUGGGAACUGCCUUUGAAACUGGCAAACUGGAGUGUGUGAGAGGAUAGUGGAAUGCCAGGUGUAGGAGUGAAAUGCGUAGAUAUCUGGAGGAACAUCAGUGGCGAAGGCGACUAUCUGGCACAUAACUGACGCUGAGGAGCGAAAGCGUGGGUAGCAAACAGGAUUAGAUACCCUUGUAGUC